This 253-nucleotide ribosomal RNA is filed under the name uncultured bacterium. RNAcentral's name for it is "partial 16S ribosomal RNA". It matches the Rfam family "Bacterial small subunit ribosomal RNA", at positions 524 to 776 of the family's 1533-position model. The record is from RNAcentral.
UACGAAGGGGGCUAGCGUUGCUCGGAAUUACUGGGCGUAAAGGGCUCGUAGGCGGCCAACUAAGUCAAACGUGAAAUCCCUCGGCUUAACCGGGGAACUGCGUCUGAUACUGGAUGGCUUGAGUUUGGGAGAGGGAUGCGGAAUUCCAGGUGUAGCGGUGAAAUGCGUAGAUAUCUGGAGGAACACCGGUGGCGAAGGCGGCAUCCUGGACCAACACUGACGCUGAGGAGCGAAAGCCAGGGGAGCAAACGGG